This 477-nucleotide ribosomal RNA is filed under the name Triticum aestivum (bread wheat). Its description in RNAcentral is "partial small subunit ribosomal RNA". Lineage: Eukaryota; Viridiplantae; Streptophyta; Magnoliopsida; Poales; Poaceae. The record is from RNAcentral.
AUGAGUCUUCAUGAUGGCAUCAACAUCCCCGAUGGCAAGUUCUUCCUUGGAGAUGGUGGCUAUGCAUGUCAGCCAAGUGUUCUUCCACCCUUCAGGAAAACCAAGUACCAUCUGAAUGAGUUUGUUGGUAGGAACUAUCCUAGGACUCCUCAAGAACUGUUUAAUCUCAGACACUCCGGCUUUACAGUGACGAUUGAGAGACCCUUUGGAGCUCUGAAGAAUAGGUUUAAGAUCCUGAAUCAGAAGCCAUUCCACCCUUACUCUAUCCAGGUGAAGCUUGUUCUUGCAUGUUGCAUCAUUCACAACUAGAUCCUACAAGGAGUUGAUGAAUUUGUGCCGAAGGAGGAAGAUGUGACUCGUGAUGAGGUGAUCAGCUCCGGCCAUGGUAUGGAGGCGUUCGAGAACAAAGCAUGGAAGAACAAAAGGUUGGAGUAGGCUUAGGCAAUGUGGGAUAACAAAGGUCACAUAAGGAUCUGA